UACGUAGGGUGCAAGCGUUGUCCGGAAUUAUUGGGCGUAAAGAGCUCGUAGGCGGUCUGUCACGUCGACUGUGAAAUCCCGAGGCUCAACCUCGGGCCUGCAGUCGAUACGGGCAGACUAGAGUUCGGUAGGGGAGACUGGAAUUCCUGGUGUAGCGGUGAAAUGCGCAGAUAUCAGGAGGAACACCUAUGGCGAAAGCAGCUCUCUGGGACGGUACUGACGCUGAGACGCGAAAGCGUGGGGAGCAAACAGG
This 253-nucleotide ribosomal RNA is filed under the name uncultured bacterium. Its description in RNAcentral is "partial 16S ribosomal RNA". It matches the Rfam family "Bacterial small subunit ribosomal RNA", at positions 524 to 776 of the family's 1533-position model. The record is from RNAcentral.